This 274-nucleotide ribosomal RNA is filed under the name uncultured bacterium. RNAcentral describes it as "partial 16S ribosomal RNA". It matches the Rfam family "Bacterial small subunit ribosomal RNA", at positions 523 to 796 of the family's 1533-position model. The record is from RNAcentral.
AUACGGAGGGUGCAAGCGUUACUCGGAAUCACUGGGCGUAAAGCGCGCGCAGGCGGGCUGAUAAGUUGGAUGUGAAAGCCUACGGCUCAACCGUAGAACUGCAUCCAAAACUGUCAGUCUAGAGUCUGGGAGGGGAAGAUAAAAUUAGUUGUGUAGGGGUAAAAUCCGUAGAGAUAACUAGGAAUACCAAAAGCGAAGGCGAUCUUCUGGAACAGUACUGACGCUGAGGCGCGAAAGCGUGGGGAGCAAACAGGAUUAGAUACCCUAGUAGUCC